This 273-nucleotide ribosomal RNA is filed under the name uncultured bacterium. RNAcentral describes it as "partial 16S ribosomal RNA". It matches the Rfam family "Bacterial small subunit ribosomal RNA", at positions 523 to 796 of the family's 1533-position model. The record is from RNAcentral.
CGACAGAGGUGGCAAGCGUUGUUCGGAUUUACUGGGCGUAAAGAGUUCGUAGGCGGUUGUGUGUGUCAGAUGUGAAAUCCCAGGGCUUAACCCUGGAAUUGCAUUUGAAACUGCACGACUUGAGGACAGGAGGGGGAAGUGGAAUUCCCGGUGUAGCGGUGAAAUGCGUAGAUAUCGGGAAGAACACCGGUGGCGAAGGCGGCUUCCUGGACUGUCCUGACGCUGAGGAACGAAAGCGUGGGUAGCAAACAGGAUUAGAUACCCUAGUAGUCC